ACAUGUGUCAGUAUAAAUAUUUAGACUUUGAAACUGCAAAUGGCUCAUUAUAUCAGUUAUAGUUUAUUUGAUGAACAAUACUACUUGGAUAACCGUAGUAAUUCUAGAGCUAAUACAUGAUAAAAUCCUCGACUUUGAAGAGGUGUAUUUAUUAGAAUGAAACCAAGAGACUUCGGUCUAUUUGUGAGUAAUAAUAACUAAUCGUAUCGCAUGCUUAGGUAGCGAUAUGUCUUUCAAGUUUCUGCCCUAUCAGCUUUGGAUGGUAGUGUAUUGGACUACCAUGGCAGUAACGGGUAACGAAGAAUUUGGGUUCGAUUUCGGAGAGGGAGCCUGAGAGAUGGCUACCACAUCCAAGGAAGGCAGCAGGCGCGUAAAUUACCCAAUCCUGACAUAGGGAGGUAGUGACAAUAAAUCACAAUGCGGAACUAUUAGUUUUGCAAUUGGAUUGAGAACAAUGUACAAAUGUUAUCGAUAAACAAUUGGAGGGCAAGUCUGGUGCCAGCAGCCGCGGUAAUUCCAGCUCCAAUAGCGUAUAUUAACGUUGUUGCAGUAAAAAAAGCUCAAAA
This 566-nucleotide ribosomal RNA is filed under the name Blastocystis sp. subtype 4. RNAcentral describes it as "SSU rRNA". It matches the Rfam family "Eukaryotic small subunit ribosomal RNA", at positions 53 to 633 of the family's 1831-position model. The record is from RNAcentral. Lineage: Eukaryota; Bigyra; Opalinata; Blastocystidae.